GAACAGAAGGCAGAGCUCAGGAUGACCUUCACCACAGCCUGGUCCUGUCUCCUCCUGUCAUUCCUUGUUCAGUGCACAGGGUCCUGGGCCCAGCUGACUCAGCCGCCCUCACUGUCUGGGACUCCAGGACAGAGGGUCACCAUCUCCUGCAUUGGAAGCAGCACCAAUAUUGGGAAUGGCUAUAGUGUGAACUGGUAUCAGCAGCUCCCAGGAACGGCUCCCAAACUCCUCAUCUAUGGUAUUAGUAGUAGACCCUCAGGGAUCCCUGAUCGCUUCUCAGGCUCCAGAUCUGGCAGCUCUGCUUCACUGACCAUCGCUGGACUCCAGCCUGAGGAUGAGGCUGACUAUUUCUGUCAGUCUUAUGACAACAGCCUCAGUGCUGACACAGUGCUCCAGUCUCAUGGGGAAGUUUCCUCCUCAGCUUGUGCUGACUCAGUCACCCUCUGCAUCUGCCUCCCAGAGAGCCUCAGUCAAGCUCACCUGUAUCCUGAGCACAGCACCUACUUCAUUUCCUGGUACCAGCAACAGCCAGGGAAGGCCCCAGUGUUCCUCAUGGAUGUUAACAGUGAUGGAAGCCACAAGAAGGGGAAUGGGAUUCCUGAUCGCUUCUCUGGCUCCAGUUCUGGGUCUGAACUGCUAUUUAAGCAAUUCCAACAUCCAGCAUGA
Molecule: non-coding RNA, 666 nt
Organism: Sciurus carolinensis (gray squirrel)
Lineage: Eukaryota; Metazoa; Chordata; Mammalia; Rodentia; Sciuridae
Source: the annotation of a RefSeq genome assembly